GAUAUUUUCGUUAUUAUAGAGACAUAUAAAAAGAAUGGUAGAAUUUCCAUAGAUUAUUUUUGUAAAAAAAAUCAAAAAAACUAAUUAUUAGAACUAUGACUUUUCAGCCAGUUUCUUCACGAAUUAUGUCUUUUCAGCAGCACACUCUUUCUUCUUCGUUUUUUUUCCUUCUUUUCCCUUCUCAUCUCUUCGUUUUCCUUCUUCUCCUUCCAUUGUAGUCACUAAUCUCCGGCAAACAGGGUCACUAAUCAGGCUAAACGACUUAUCUUCUUCCCAUAUUCACCAGAUCCAAUCUCAGAUCAAUCAGAACCACCAUGCUCUUUUUCUUCCUCCCGAAUCUGACGAAACUGUAUAGAGGCGUGAGGCUGCGUGGAUCUGUUAGCUGAAGAACCGGCUCGUCUUUGGGUCAGAAACAUCGACACGGCGGCGGAGGGUUUUCCCGGUGAGAUUUCUUGAGAUUUUAGCGGUGGUGGUUGUUCCAGAUCUCUUAAGACGGCAAUCCGCCGGCGGUGGUGGUUGUUCCAGAUCUCUUAAGACGGCAAUCCGCCGGCGGUGGUGGUUCCAGAUCUGCGAGCGUAGUUUUUCUUUUGCCAAUUUCGGUUUAGAUUGGGUUUAGCAUUUUGGUUUCGGUUUAGAUUUAGUUUAACGUUAAUUUAGUUUAAAAAAUGUAAUUUCUUUAAUUAAAAUUAAUUAAAUUUAAAUUUCCGAAUUAUUUUUUAAUUUUAUUUCUAAUUUUUAACAAAAAAAAAUAAUCUCUGAAUUUUGUAAACUAAUUUUUUAUUUAUUAUUAACAAAAUUUUAUGAUUAUAUUUAUUAAUAAGUUUGUUGGUCUUUUAUUUUCGACCAAAUUGUUGGUCAAAUUUUUUGACCAAAAUUAUUGAUCACAAAGUUUGACUAUUUUGUUACUAAAUUUAUUUUCGACCAUCGAUCUGACAACCUAUAUUUGGUCAAAAAUUAGACAAAAAAAAAACUGUUUUUGACCAUUUGUUGACCAUUUUUGACCUUUUUUUUACCAUUUUGGUAGUCAGAUUUUACUUGUUUUCUUAUAGUGAAUGGGCCAAGAAGCUUUUCUUCUCUAAAUGGAUGGAUGGAUGAUGGAAUGAAUCAAGAAUGGAUCCAAUGACACCACGCAAUCGAUGAAGAUGUUGUGAUAAGUUAGUUUGAACUCAAUAACAAAGAGAAACUACAUGAUGCUCAAAAACUCGACGGCGGCCACUUUUCUUAAAGAAAACAUUUGUUUUAAUGAUUAGGUAAAAAGUUGUGUCUACAAAACUGAAUGAUGAGCUUUAUUAAUAGCUCAGAACGGCGAUCUUUUAGAGUCUUAAAAAAAACGAAAGACAUUACAAAAAGUGAAAGAAAAAUUACAAAUGAA
RNAcentral lists this long non-coding RNA (1372 nucleotides) under Eutrema salsugineum. RNAcentral's name for it is "long non-coding RNA (ESAL_LNC001233)". The record is from RNAcentral. Lineage: Eukaryota; Viridiplantae; Streptophyta; Magnoliopsida; Brassicales; Brassicaceae.